GCCCGCAUGGCUCAGUGGUAGAGCGUGUCACUAGUAAACCUAGGCCAUGACAAGGUCGUCAGUUCGAUUCUGGCUGUGGGCA
This 82-nucleotide transfer RNA is filed under the name Chaetomium tenue. Its description in RNAcentral is "tRNA-Thr". It matches the Rfam family "tRNA". From Rfam's summary of the family: Transfer RNA (tRNA) molecules are approximately 80 nucleotides in length. The record is from RNAcentral. Lineage: Eukaryota; Fungi; Ascomycota; Sordariomycetes; Sordariales; Chaetomiaceae.